This 253-nucleotide ribosomal RNA is filed under the name uncultured bacterium. Its description in RNAcentral is "partial 16S ribosomal RNA". It matches the Rfam family "Bacterial small subunit ribosomal RNA", at positions 524 to 776 of the family's 1533-position model. The record is from RNAcentral.
UACGUAGGGUGCGAGCGUUAAUCGGAAUUACUGGGCGUAAAGCGUGCGCAGGCGGUUUUGUAAGCCAGAUGUGAAAUCCCCGGGCUCAACCUGGGAAUGGCAUUUGGGACUGCAAGGCUUGAGUUUGGCAGAGGAGACUGGAAUUCCUGGUGUAGCAGUGAAAUGCGUAGAUAUCAGGAGGAAUACCGAUGGCGAAGGCAGGUCUCUGGACAGUUCCUGACACUGAGGCACGAAGGCCAGGGGAGCAAACGGG